Oncorhynchus tshawytscha (Chinook salmon) is the source of this 356-nucleotide long non-coding RNA. Lineage: Eukaryota; Metazoa; Chordata; Actinopteri; Salmoniformes; Salmonidae. The record is from Ensembl.
GCCAGGAAACUGAAAGGUUGCAGGAUCGAAGCCUCGAGCUGACAAGGUAAAACACUGCCGUUCUGCCCGACUGAACAAGGCAGUUUAACCCACUGUUCCCCUGAACAAGGCAGUUAACGCCACUGUUCCCCUGAACAAGGCAGUUUAACCCACUGUUCCCCUGAACAAGGCAGUUAACCCACUGUUCCCCUGAACAAGGCAGUUAACCCACUGUUCCCCUGAACAAGGCAGUUAACCCACUGUUCCCCUGAACAAGGCAGUUAACCCCAUUGUUCCCCUGAACAAGGCAGUUAACCCACUGUUCCCCUGAACAAGGCAGUUAACCCCACUGUUCCCCUGAACUUGGCAGUUAACCC